RNAcentral lists this transfer RNA (68 nucleotides) under Nephrotoma sp. RNAcentral describes it as "tRNA-Glu". It matches the Rfam family "tRNA". Rfam says of the family: Transfer RNA (tRNA) molecules are approximately 80 nucleotides in length. The record is from RNAcentral. Lineage: Eukaryota; Metazoa; Arthropoda; Insecta; Diptera; Tipulidae.
AUUUAUAUAGUUUAAUUAUAAAACCUUACACUUUCAUUGUAAAAAUAAAAGAUUUCUUUUUAUAAAUU